GACGAACGCUGGCGGCGUGCUUAACACAUGCAAGUCGAACGAAGAGCGAUGGAAGCUUGCUUCUAUCAAUCUUAGUGGCGAACGGGUGAGUAACGCGUAAUCAACCUGCCCUUCAGAGGGGGACAACAGUUGGAAACGACUGCUAAUACCGCAUACGAUCUAAUCUCGGCAUCGAGGAUAGAUGAAAGGUGGCCUCUACAUGUAAGCUAUCACUGAAGGAGGGGAUUGCGUCUGAUUAGCUAGUUGGAGGGGUAACGGCCCACCAAGGCGAUGAUCAGUAGCCGGUCUGAGAGGAUGAACGGCCACCUUGGGACUGAGACACGGCCCAGACUCCUACGGGAGGCAGCAGUGGGGAAUCUUCCGCAAUGGACGAAAGUCUGACGGAGCAACGCCGCGUGAGUGAUGACGGCCUUCGGGUUGUAAAGCUCUGUUAAUCGGGACGAAAGGCCUUCUUGCGAAUAGUGAGAAGGAUUGACGGUACCGGAAUAGAAAGCCACGGCUAACUACGUG
RNAcentral lists this ribosomal RNA (510 nucleotides) under uncultured bacterium. RNAcentral describes it as "partial 16S ribosomal RNA". It matches the Rfam family "Bacterial small subunit ribosomal RNA", at positions 28 to 507 of the family's 1533-position model. The record is from RNAcentral.